GUGGGGAAUCUUGCGCAAUGGGCGAAAGCCUGACGCAGCGACGCCGCGUGGGCGACGAAGGCCUUCGGGUCGUAAAGCCCUGUGGGGAGGGACGAACAAGCCGAAAGGCCCUGACGGUACCUCCUUAGCAAGCACCGGCCAACUCCGUGCCAGCAGCCGCGGUAAGACGGAGGGUGCGAACGUUGUUCGGAAUUACUGGGCGUAAAGCGCGUGUAGGCGGUUUGGUGUGUCGAGUGUGAAAUCCCUCGGCUUAACCGGGGAACUGCACCCGAAACUACCAGACUGGAGUACGGGAGAGGGAGGUGGAAUUCUCGGUGUAGAGGUGAAAUUCGUAGAUAUCGAGAGGAACACCGGUGGCGAAGGCGGCCUCCUGGACCGAUACUGACGCUGAGACGCGAAAGCGUGGGGAGCAAACAGGAUUAGAAACCCCUGUAGUCC
Molecule: ribosomal RNA, 438 nt
Filed under: uncultured bacterium
Lineage: Bacteria
Description: bacterial SSU rRNA
Rfam family: Bacterial small subunit ribosomal RNA
Source: RNAcentral